Molecule: long non-coding RNA, 515 nt
Organism: Planococcus citri (citrus mealybug)
Lineage: Eukaryota; Metazoa; Arthropoda; Insecta; Hemiptera; Pseudococcidae
Exons: 3
Source: RefSeq, a predicted model, not a curated record
UAUAUAUAAUUUUCUCAAAACCGAAUAAUGUUUCAGAUCUGUAGUAUUUCAAUUUUCAAUUCCAUCAGAGAAGUCGAACUAAUAAAGAACAAUAAUUAAAUUAUAACGCGAUAUCUCGAAAUUAUAUUAUUUCAUUCGGAGAAUUCAAUCUCGAAAUCGCGAGAGCGUGUAUUAUUUACAAAAUCGAAUGGCAAACUUCAAAAUGUGUCGAUGGUUUAUGCGAAUUGUUACGUAAUGGAGUCGAAGUCGAUGUCCAACCAAACGAUCCGCGGAUUCUAAUACAGCGAUGACAUCAGCGAAAUGAUUCGGUGAAUGAUCGUAUCAAAAUAUAUUAAAUGGUCGGUUAAAUUGAACUAAAGAGUUGGCUGCAUCUCUAUAUGCUUCGAAAAGCGGAAAAUUGCUGACCUUUCCUUACUUUUUAUAUUGUAUCCUCAAUCUGGAAUUGACAAUGAUUGGUGAUCCGUCUUUGAACCAUUGCAAGGCUGGUAAUGGGUUUCCUUUGACUCGACAUACCA